Molecule: ribosomal RNA, 670 nt
Filed under: Bacillus velezensis
Lineage: Bacteria; Bacillati; Bacillota; Bacilli; Caryophanales; Bacillaceae
Description: bacterial SSU rRNA
Rfam family: Bacterial small subunit ribosomal RNA
Source: RNAcentral
UUUAUCGGAGAGUUUGAUCCUGGCUCAGGACGAACGCUGGCGGCGUGCCUAAUACAUGCAAGUCGAGCGGACAGAUGGGAGCUUGCUCCCUGAUGUUAGCGGCGGACGGGUGAGUAACACGUGGGUAACCUGCCUGUAAGACUGGGAUAACUCCGGGAAACCGGGGCUAAUACCGGAUGUUUGUUUGAACCGCAUGGUUCAGACAUAAAAGGUGGCUUCGGCUACCACUUACAGAUGGACCCGCGGCGCAUUAGCUAGUUGGUGAGGUAACGGCUCACCAAGGCGACGAUGCGUAGCCGACCUGAGAGGGUGAUCGGCCACACUGGGACUGAGACACGGCCCAGACUCCUACGGGAGGCAGCAGUAGGGAAUCUUCCGCAAUGGACGAAAGUCUGACGGAGCAACGCCGCGUGAGUGAUGAAGGUUUUCGGAUCGUAAAGCUCUGUUGUUAGGGAAGAACAAGUGCCGUUCAAAUAGGGCGGCACCUUGACGGUACCUAACCAGAAAGCCACGGCUAACUACGUGCCAGCAGCCGCGGUAAUACGUAGGUGGCAAGCGUUGUCCGGAAUUAUUGGGCGUAAAGGGCUCGCAGGCGGUUUCUUAAGUCUGAUGUGAAAGCCCCCGGCUCAACCGGGGAGGGUCAUUGGAAACUGGGGAACUUGAGUGCAGA